UACGAGGGGUGCAAGCGUUAAUCGGAUUUACUGGGCGUAAAGCGCGCGUAGGCGGCUUGUUAAGUCGGAUGUGAAAGCCCUGGGCUCAACCUGGGAACUGCAUUCGAUACUGGCGAGCUAGAGUACGAUAGAGGGUGGUAGAAUUCCUAGUGUAGCGGUGAAAUGCGUAGAUAUUAGGAGGAAUACCAGUGGCGAAGGCGGCCACCUGGAUCGAUACUGACGCUGAAGUGCGAAAGCGUGGGGAGCAAACAGG
This 253-nucleotide ribosomal RNA is filed under the name uncultured bacterium. RNAcentral's name for it is "partial 16S ribosomal RNA". It matches the Rfam family "Bacterial small subunit ribosomal RNA", at positions 524 to 776 of the family's 1533-position model. The record is from RNAcentral.